This is a long non-coding RNA of Rhipicephalus microplus (southern cattle tick), 255 nucleotides long. The record is from RefSeq and is a predicted model, not a curated record. NCBI's taxonomy places the organism in Eukaryota, Metazoa, Arthropoda, Arachnida, Ixodida, Ixodidae.
CGUAAACCUGGACUUCGAGACACAAACUUCCAGGUGCUGAAGCUGAAGCUGGAAACCUUAUUGGUGGUACUGGGUGGUGGGCCUGUGUCCCUGUGCGUGGCCGAUUGCAUGUUGGCAGACUUGGUGGACAAGGUCGGGGACAUCAAGAAUGGCCAGGGCGCCACAUCUGCCCUGACGGCCUUAGCUGAGGCCACCUCCCUAGACCAUGUUGGCCAGGAGGUUCUCCAGCUUUGUUUUGCCCAGAAGAAUCCGAAA